CAGGAGUGGUUUAUUGUUUUAUAGUAGGUAUUAGUGUUUAUUGUUUUAUAGCAGUUCUUCAAGGAGUUGUUUAUUGUUUUACAGUAUGUAUUAGUGUUUAAUUUAUUGUUUACUGGCAGUUUAUUGUUUAUUAUUUUACAGUAGUUCUUCAAGGAGUUGUUUAUUGUAAUUAAUCAUUGUUUGUGAUUGAUGUAGUUGUUUAUUGUCUAUGUUCCUUGUAUUUGAUGUUUAUACUUUAUACGUUAUCGUUUAAUAAGUAUGUAAACAUUCACAAUAAACUAAUUUUCUUUUAUCAUUAUAUUAUAUUAAUAUUUAUUAGAACGGAAGGUGAUAAUUCCCAUUUAGGCGGUUGUGAUUCAUUUACUCCAACGCCUAUGAGUUCACCAUUAGAGUACCCUAAUUCAUUCCCCGUGGAUUCACCUAGUGCUAGGAAUGAAGCAGAAACUCAAGGAACUAGUCAAACUGUUGAAGGUUAUUGCAUCUUGGAAGAUUAUGAAAUUGAUGAAGAUUUACUCCUUCCUCAAGAAUUAGAAGCUUAGAGGUUAUUAUUGAAGAGUUACUACUUGAACCUUGAGAAGUUGAGAGUUUAAAACAUGAGAAAUGAGAAUUGAAGAUUUGAAGUUUAUUUGUUUUGUUAUGUACUUAUAUUUGGACUUUG
Long non-coding RNA from Ipomoea triloba (trilobed morning glory), 658 nucleotides. RefSeq lists it as uncharacterized. The transcript is spliced from 3 exons. Lineage: Eukaryota; Viridiplantae; Streptophyta; Magnoliopsida; Solanales; Convolvulaceae. The record is from RefSeq and is a predicted model, not a curated record.